UCGAGAAUCUUCCACAAUGGACGAAAGUCUGAUGGAGCGACGCCGCGUGAUGGAUGAAGUACUUCGGUAUGUAAACAUCUUUUAUGGGGGAAGAAGUUUUGACGGUACCCCAUGAAUAAGAGGUUGCUAAACUCGUGCCAGCAGCAGCGGUAAUACGAGUGCCUCAAGCGUUAUCCGGAAUUACUGGGCGUAAAGGGUGUGUAGGCGGUCGUAAUUAGUCUUUCGUUAAAGCCCCGGGCUUAACUCGGGAUCUGCGAAAGAAACGGUACGACUAGAGAAUGCGAGGGGUAUGCGGAACUCAAAGUGUAGGGGUGAAAUCCGUUGAUAUUUUGGGGAACACCAAAAGCGAAAGCAGCAUACUGGCGCAUUUCUGACGCUGAGACACGAAAGCGUGGGUAGC
RNAcentral lists this ribosomal RNA (400 nucleotides) under uncultured bacterium. Its description in RNAcentral is "bacterial SSU rRNA". It matches the Rfam family "Bacterial small subunit ribosomal RNA", at positions 355 to 769 of the family's 1533-position model. The record is from RNAcentral.